CUAUAAUUGGCAAGAAAGACCAAGCUUAAUGUCAAAGCCGUUUGAUAAGUCUGAGAUCACAGAAUGUCUAGGCCAAGACUUAGUCAGAAUGAAACAUGUUUCUGGAGAACAGGAAGCAAGGCCACAUGCUGAGCAGGAGGAGCCAGCACAGGGUGGAGUAGUGAAGGGCCACUCUGCCGCAGCCGCGUCUCAAUGGAUUUCACUGUGGCACAAAAUGUUCCUGCGGUCCAAAAUUGAGAAGGGAAUUGAAACAAGGG
Molecule: long non-coding RNA, 257 nt
Filed under: Homo sapiens (human)
Lineage: Eukaryota; Metazoa; Chordata; Mammalia; Primates; Hominidae
Description: HSALNT0252036
Source: RNAcentral